UUAUCUGAAGUAAUAAGAAAAUUAUCACAUUUUGUUUAAAUAUAUUUAUUUAUUAAAUACAUUUUUUAAUUCUUUAAAAUAUAAAUAUUUAUAUAUAUUUUGAUAGCAAUAUUCAAACAUUUGUUUAAGAAACAAUUUGGCUAGUGUAAAAGAGGGAAAUGUUGACUUUUAAGGUUUUAAGAUGUUUUUUAAUUAUCACAGGAUGUUAUAUAAUUUUUUUAGAAUAUGUUCUGAAAUAAAUUAAAUAUACAAUCAUAAAAUGCUACUCAAGUGCAAUAUAAAAAUGAAAAUGUAGUUUUGAUACUAAAUAUUGCAAAAACUGAAUCUUUCAUUAAUCAUAAGUGUUUUGUGUUUUUUACUUGCUAUAAGUUGGUUUGUGUUGGUUUAUGAUUAACAACAGAAAAUACAUUACUUCAACAAAUGUUAGUUUUUUACACAUUAGUUAUAUAAUCUCCUAUGAAAUGGUUUAUCUAAAUCUAAUUCCCUGCAGGAUGCCUGUUAAAAAGAAAAACUGAAGAAAUUUUUAAAACUAGAUGAUGCCAACUAAAGAAGUUGAAACACAGUUAUUCAUGGUGUCAUAUCAAGUCUUCAGUUCUCCAGUAUUUAUUUUUAUAUUUUAUUAUAUGUUAUGUUGAUUUUAUUUUUUAUUUUUGUUAUUUUUAUAACAACAAACUAUGUGAAUAUUUAAUUGUCCUGCCCUACCUCAGUCUGACUAUUAUUAUAACACGUAUAUGGAUUUAUAUAUUGUAUUGAGUUAGCUUGUGAUUUGUACAUGUGAUUUUGUUUGCCUAGUGUUUGUUAGUUAUAUGCAAGAUAUGGCAUGGUAUGGCACACUGCAUGGUAUGCCCUAAAUAAUAUUAUCAAUAAAUAUUUUUAUCUAUA
Hydra vulgaris (swiftwater hydra) is the source of this 882-nucleotide long non-coding RNA. RefSeq lists it as uncharacterized. NCBI's taxonomy places the organism in Eukaryota, Metazoa, Cnidaria, Hydrozoa, Anthoathecata, Hydridae. The record is from RefSeq and is a predicted model, not a curated record.